GAAUCGCUAGCUCAGCUGGUAGAGCAACAGACUCUUAAUCUGUGGGUCCAGGGUUCGAUCCCCUGGCGGUUCA
This 73-nucleotide transfer RNA is filed under the name Bacteroidales bacterium. RNAcentral's name for it is "tRNA-Lys". It matches the Rfam family "tRNA". Rfam says of the family: Transfer RNA (tRNA) molecules are approximately 80 nucleotides in length. The record is from RNAcentral. RNAcentral also lists the same sequence under 2 other names. Lineage: Bacteria; Pseudomonadati; Bacteroidota; Bacteroidia; Bacteroidales.